GCAGUGGAUAUUUGGCAUUGUGGAUCCUGUAUGAAAACAGUAGCUAGUGGAGCAUAGAUAUGCAAUACCACCUCUGCAGUCACAGUCAAAUCUGCC
MicroRNA precursor from Notamacropus eugenii (tammar wallaby), 96 nucleotides. The record is from Ensembl. Lineage: Eukaryota; Metazoa; Chordata; Mammalia; Diprotodontia; Macropodidae.